This 86-nucleotide transfer RNA is filed under the name Brachybacterium ginsengisoli. RNAcentral's name for it is "tRNA-Leu". It matches the Rfam family "tRNA". Rfam says of the family: Transfer RNA (tRNA) molecules are approximately 80 nucleotides in length. Their secondary structure includes four short double-helical elements and three loops (D, anti-codon, and T loops). The record is from RNAcentral. Lineage: Bacteria; Bacillati; Actinomycetota; Actinomycetes; Micrococcales; Dermabacteraceae.
GCCGGGUUGGCGGAAUGGUAGACGCGGCGCACUCAAAAUGCGCUGUCCGCGAGGGCGUGCGGGUUCGAGUCCCGCACCCGGCACCC